CAACGGCCGACAGAUGGCGUCGCAGCGUCGAUCGUGUGUCACAUUGCAGUCACACGUCAAAAACAUUUGAAACGUAUGUUUAAAUAUAGAAUGUGGUUUAAUUAUUUACAGUUGCGAUGUUUACGCGGUAUUAUGCGAGAAUACGUUGUGCGAUAUCGUUUCGUAACGGAUUGAUCGUUGAUGUUGAACGAACGUCCUUAACCUUAAAAGAAGGUUAAUGUUUUCAUUCAACAGAAACGUGUACCUGUGCGAAAUUGCUUACAGAAAAUGUCACAUCGUCUGAGUAACAAACAAAAAUUAAAGUCGCUUUUGCAAGUGACCACCACCGCCGCUAUGUUUUACGGUGGCCUUUGCUUCUAUCAGGGCGAUGAGAACUUUUAUAACAAAUUUGUCAUGCCGCUUGCACGGUUGGUGAAUCCUGAGGUUGCGCACAAUGCAGCAGUGCAGGUAUUAAAGUGGGGCCUUUUGUCUAUGAAAGAUGCAAACGAUCCAGCUUCUCUAAAUGUCGACGUUUGGGGCAUAAAGUUCAAGAAUCCGGUAGGAAUGGCAGCCGGUUUUGACAAACAAGGAGAAGCUGUAGCUGGCUUGCACAAAAUAGGAUUUAGCUUUGUAGAAAUAGGAUCAGUUACACCAAAGCCUCAGCCUGGCAAUUUAAAACCAAGACUGUUCAGAUUGUUGGAAGACAAUGCUGUUGUCAAUCGAUACGGCUUCAACAGCGAGGGCCACGAUAUUGUGUGGGAACGUUUGCAAAAGCUCAAGAAGAGUCAGGACUUUGACGGUAUUGUCGGGGUUAAUUUAGGUAAAAACAAAAUAUCAGAGGAUGCCGCGCAAGAUUACAUAGAUGGCAUUAGGAAAUUUGCGGACGUGGCAGAUUACUUUGUAAUCAACGUAUCUAGCCCCAAUACACCUGGAUUGAGAAUGUUGCAGAACAAACGUGAUUUAGAAGACCUGCUGACAAAAAUAAACAACGUCAGACAAUCUAUACAAAGCAAACAGCCAUUGCUGUUGAAACUGGCUCCAGAUUUAUCAGAUUCUGAAAAGCAAGAGAUUGCAGAUGUAAUAGUUAAGAAAAAGUCGAAGGUAGACGGUCUGAUAUUAUGUAAUACUACAGUUACGCGUAAUAAUUUAACAAGCCCUCUCAAGGAGGAACCCGGGGGACUCAGUGGUGCUCCUUUGGCUGACAUGUCCACUGCAAUGAUCUCAGAUAUGUACAAACGAACACACGGUGCUAUUCCUAUCAUUGGAGUCGGUGGAAUAUUUACUGGAGCGGACGCUUACGACAAAAUUAAAGCUGGCGCUUCUUUGGUGCAAGUUUACACGUCGUUUACGUAUCGGGGGCCACCAGUUAUAGGAAAGAUCAAACGAGAAUUGGACGAUAUGUUGAAAAAGGACGGCCUGAAGUCUAUUAAAGACGCGGUCGGAAAAGAUGCCAAUAUUAGAUAAACGGUUCUAUAGUUACCUGUUAAUUUUUGCUACGUUGAAAGCAGUAUAUCAGAAAUAUGUACAUUUUAUACGAGUGACCAUGUUGUUUUACAGAAAGUUGUUCAAUCGUUGCAGUUCUCAUUUUAAACAUUAUGUAUACCUCAGACAUAAUCCUCUGAAGAGAAGAACUUACUCUAGUAGGAUGAUUCAAUAUUCAAAAUUUGAAACUACAGAAACGCCACAAUAAUUAUACUGU
RNA transcript from Frieseomelitta varia, 1678 nucleotides. It is a transcript of the gene named dihydroorotate dehydrogenase (quinone), mitochondrial, with no coding region annotated. The transcript has 3 exons. The record is from RefSeq and is a predicted model, not a curated record. NCBI's taxonomy places the organism in Eukaryota, Metazoa, Arthropoda, Insecta, Hymenoptera, Apidae.